GCUGGGCAUGGUGGCGCGUGCCUGUAGUCACAGCUACUCGGGAGGCUGAGGCUGGAGGAUCACUUAAGUCCAGGAGUUCUGGGCUGUAGUGCGCUAUGCCGAUCGGGUGUCCGCACUAAGUUCGGCAUCAAUCUGGUGACCUCCUGGGAGCGGGGGACCACCAGGUUGCCUAAGGAGGGGUGAACCGGCCUAGGUCGUAAGCGGAGCAGGUCAAAACCCCCAUGCUGAUGAGUAGUGGGAUUGCAUCUGUGAAUAGCCACUGUACUCCAGCCUGGGCAACAUAGCGAGACCCCAUCUUU
RNAcentral lists this signal recognition particle RNA (299 nucleotides) under Cebus imitator (Panamanian white-faced capuchin). Its description in RNAcentral is "Metazoan signal recognition particle RNA (ENSCCAG00000011234.1)". It matches the Rfam family "Metazoan signal recognition particle RNA". Rfam says of the family: The signal recognition particle (SRP) is a universally conserved ribonucleoprotein. The record is from RNAcentral. Lineage: Eukaryota; Metazoa; Chordata; Mammalia; Primates; Cebidae.